Molecule: ribosomal RNA, 657 nt
Filed under: Streptomyces cinnabarigriseus
Lineage: Bacteria; Bacillati; Actinomycetota; Actinomycetes; Kitasatosporales; Streptomycetaceae
Description: bacterial SSU rRNA
Rfam family: Bacterial small subunit ribosomal RNA
Source: RNAcentral
GAAAGCUCCGGCGGUGAAGGAUGAGCCCGCGGCCUAUCAGCUUGCCGGUGAGGUAACGGCUCACCAAGGCGACGACGCGUAGCCGGCCUGCGAGGGCGACCGGCCACACUGGGACUGAGACACGGCCCAGACUCCUACGGGAGGCAGCAGUGGGGAAUAUUGCACAAUGGGCGAAAGCCUGAUGCAGCGACGCCGCGUGAGGGAUGACGGCCUUCGGGUUGUAAACCUCUUUCAGCAGGGAAGAAGCGAAAGUGACGGUACCUGCAGAAGAAGCGCCGGCUAACUACGUGCCAGCAGCCGCGGUAAUACGUAGGGCGCAAGCGUUGUCCGGAAUUAUUGGGCGUAAAGAGCUCGUAGGCGGCUUGUCACGUCGGGUGUGAAAGCCCGGGGCUUAACCCCGGGUCUGCAUUCGAUACGGGCUAGCUAGAGUGUGGUAGGGGAGAUCGGAAUUCCUGGUGUAGCGGUGAAAUGCGCAGAUAUCAGGAGGAACACCGGUGGCGAAGGCGGAUCUCUGGGCCAUUACUGACGCUGAGGAGCGAAAGCGUGGGGAGCGAACAGGAUUAGAUACCCUGGUAGUCCACGCCGUAAACGGUGGGAACUAGGUGUUGGCGACAGUUCCACGUCGUCGGUGCCGCAGCUAACGCAUUAAGUUCCCCG